Molecule: ribosomal RNA, 488 nt
Filed under: uncultured bacterium
Lineage: Bacteria
Description: bacterial SSU rRNA
Rfam family: Bacterial small subunit ribosomal RNA
Source: RNAcentral
GGGACGAACGCUGGCGGCGUGCCUAACACAUGCAAGUCGAACGAGAAUCUUUUGGUUGAUUUCUUCGGAAUGAAAUCAAGAGAGGACAGUGGCGGACGGGCGAGUAACGCGUGAGUAACCUGCCCAUAAGAGAGGGAUAGCACUUGGAAACGGGUAGUAAUACCUCAUAUUGAUAUUGGACCGCAUGGUUUGAUAUUGAAAGAUUUAUCGCUUAUGGAUGGACUCGCGUCUGAUUAGCUAGUUGGGGAGGUAACGGCUCACCAAGGCGACGAUCAGUAGCCGAACUGAGAGGUUGAACGGCCGCAUUGGGACUGAGACACGGCCCAGACUCCUACGGGAGGCAGCAGUGGGGAAUAUUGCGCAAUGGGGGGAACCCUGACGCAGCAACGCCGCGUGCAGGAAGAAGGUCUUCGGAUUGUAAACUGUUGUCGCGAGGGAAGAAGGAAGAUGACGGUACCUCGUGAGAAAGUCACGGCUAACUACGUGCC